UACGUAGGGGGCAAGCGUUGUCCGGAUUUAUUGGGCGUAAAAGGCUUGUAGGUGGCCACGCCAAGUCGGAUGUGAAAUCUCCCGGCUCAACUGGGAGGGGUCAUUCGAUACUGGCGGGCUCGAGGCCGGUAGGGGGAAGUGGAAUUCCCGGUGUAGUGGUGGAAUGCGUAGAUAUCGGGAGGAACACCAAUGGCGAAGGCAGCUCGCUGGGACGUGACUGACGCUGAGACGCGAAAGCGUGGGGAGCGAACAGG
RNAcentral lists this ribosomal RNA (254 nucleotides) under uncultured bacterium. RNAcentral's name for it is "partial 16S ribosomal RNA". It matches the Rfam family "Bacterial small subunit ribosomal RNA", at positions 524 to 776 of the family's 1533-position model. The record is from RNAcentral.